Long non-coding RNA from Colias croceus (clouded yellow), 1022 nucleotides. RefSeq lists it as uncharacterized. The transcript is spliced from 2 exons. The record is from RefSeq and is a predicted model, not a curated record. NCBI's taxonomy places the organism in Eukaryota, Metazoa, Arthropoda, Insecta, Lepidoptera, Pieridae.
GGGAAAGUGCUAUGAAAGGGACACGUUUUGAAUGGGACAAAUCCAAUAACUUUCGUUUAGAAAUAAAUAGGCGGUUUUUUAUUUCUGCAUUGUGACAACAUCAGUCCAUAGACGAUAUUGACGCAACUUUCAUUCAGUUGUCAAAUGUUACAAAAUGGCGAAACAGCGUUGAAUAUUUUUGUGCCCCAAAGUAAUUUAUUUAAUGUUUUCCAGCUUUGUUUUUUGAAUAAUUAUUGAAGUUUUUGAAAGUGGUUGUUUCGCGAACUGAAUAGUUGGUUUAUUACAAAAAAGGUUAUAAUUAAGCAGGCAAGGUCACCUAACAUAAAAAUUCCUCCAAAGAAGAAGGAACGAGUUGACCCCAGAGUAAUUGAAGAAGCCGUUAAUGAAGUAAUAGAAAAGAAAAUGAAAAAGAUAAAAAAGAAAACAAGAAAAAAGGUAAACAGUUACAGAAGAAAACUACGAAAAAGACCAAGGUAGUCGUUGAAUCAUCCAGUGAUAGUGAUCGCACAAUUUUGAAUUUUGAUUCCAGUGAGGAUUUUUCUGAUUGCAAUAAUGAACCACUACAAAAAUUAAGAAAACUUUCAAAUACGCAGGAGGACAUAAAUGCUGUGUCUGUAAACAGAAAUUUUCAACUAGUAAGGAAGACUGGUUCCAAUGUAAACUUUGCCAGAAAUGGGCAAAUGAAAAUAGUGGAGUAAAAGGCGUCUUUAAUUUUUUUUUGUAGCUUAUGUCAUUAAUACCUAUAUUACUUAAACUCCACUCAAAAAGUAAUUUUGAUCUCAUUUAUUUUGUAAGAUUACUUUCAUGAUACUUUAUAGCACAAUUAUGUUGUAUUAUGUAACUUAUCAUCAAGAAUUUGGUACAUGUCCCUUUCAUGACUAGCACUGUCCCAUUCAAUACCACCCAGUCAUGAAGGGGACAAAAUCAAACAUUUUCUUAUUUGAAUUUUAUGCUGAAUUGAUCACAGAAGAAAUGAUUAGAGUUAUUUUUUUUUAAAGAUAAAUAAAUAUAUUUGAAGCCUA